GCCUGGCUAGCUCAGUGGGUAGAGCAUGAGACUCUUACUCUCAGGGUCGUGGGUUCAUGCCCCACAUUGGGUG
RNAcentral lists this transfer RNA (73 nucleotides) under Erinaceus europaeus (western European hedgehog). It matches the Rfam family "tRNA". From Rfam's summary of the family: Transfer RNA (tRNA) molecules are approximately 80 nucleotides in length. Their secondary structure includes four short double-helical elements and three loops (D, anti-codon, and T loops). Further hydrogen bonds mediate the characteristic L-shaped molecular structure. tRNAs have two regions of fundamental functional importance: the anti-codon, which is responsible for specific mRNA codon recognition, and the 3' end, to which the tRNAs corresponding amino acid is attached (by aminoacyl-tRNA synthetases). tRNAs cope with the degeneracy of the genetic code in two manners: having more than one tRNA (with a specific anti-codon) for a particular amino acid; and 'wobble' base-pairing, i.e. permitting non-standard base-pairing at the 3rd anti-codon position. Lineage: Eukaryota; Metazoa; Chordata; Mammalia; Eulipotyphla; Erinaceidae. The record is from Rfam by way of RNAcentral.